Molecule: ribosomal RNA, 996 nt
Filed under: uncultured Bilophila sp.
Lineage: Bacteria; Pseudomonadati; Thermodesulfobacteriota; Desulfovibrionia; Desulfovibrionales; Desulfovibrionaceae
Description: bacterial SSU rRNA
Rfam family: Bacterial small subunit ribosomal RNA
Source: RNAcentral
CANNCGUUGGGAGCUCUCCCNUAUGGUCGACCUGCAGGCGGCCGCGAAUUCACUAGUGAUUAGAGUUUGAUCCUGGCUCAGAUUGAACGCUGGCGGCGUGCUUAACACAUGCAAGUCGAACGUGAAAGUCCUUCGGGGCGAGUAAAGUGGCGCACGGGUGAGUAACGCGUGGAUAAUCUACCCUUAAGAUGGGGAUAACGGCUGGAAACGGUCGCUAAUACCGAAUACGCUCCCGAUUUUAUCAUUGGGGGGAAAGAUGGCCUCUGCUUGCAAGCUAUCGCUUAAGGAUGAGUCCGCGUCCCAUUAGCUAGUUGGCGGGGUAACGGCCCACCAAGGCAACGAUGGGUAGCCGGUCUGAGAGGAUGACCGGCCACACUGGAACUGGAACACGGUCCAGACUCCUACGGGAGGCAGCAGUGGGGAAUAUUGCGCAAUGGGCGAAAGCCUGACGCAGCGACGCCGCGUGAGGGAUGAAGGUUCUCGGAUCGUAAACCUCUGUCAGGGGGGAAGAAACCCCCUCGUGUGAAUAAUGCGAGGGCUUGACGGUACCCCCAAAGGAAGCACCGGCUAACUCCGUGCCAGCAGCCGCGGUAAUACGGAGGGUGCAAGCGUUAAUCGGAAUCACUGGGCGUAAAGCGCACGUAGGCGGCUUGGUAAGUCAGGGGUGAAAUCCCACAGCCCAACUGUGGAACUGCCUUUGAUACUGCCAGGCUUGAGUACCGGAGAGGGUGGCGGAAUUCCAGGUGUAGGAGUGAAAUCCGUAGAUAUCUGGAGGAACACCGGUGGCGAAGGCGGCCACCUGGACGGUAACUGACGCUGANGUGCGAAAGCGUGGGUAGCAAACAGGAUUANAUACCCUGGUAGUCCACGCUGUAAACGAUGGGUGCUGGGUGCUGGGAUGUAUGUCUCGGUGCCGUANCUAACGCGAUAAGCACCCCGCCUGGGGAGUACGGUCNCAANGCUGAAACUCNNNAANUUGACGGGGGCCCGCANAGC